UGGGGAAUAUUGGACAAUGGGCGAAAGCCUGAUCCAGCCAUGCCGCGUGUGUGAAGAAGGUCUUCGGAUUGUAAAGCACUUUAAGUUGGGAGGAAGGGCAGUAAGCGAAUACCUUGCUGUUUUGACGUUACCGACAGAAUAAGCACCGGCUAACUCUGUGCCAGCAGCCGCGGUAAUACAGAGGGUGCAAGCGUUAAUCGGAAUUACUGGGCGUAAAGCGCGCGUAGGUGGUUCGUUAAGUUGAAUGUGAAAGCCCCGGGCGCAACCUUGGAACUGCAUCCCAAACUGGCGAGCUAGAGUAGGGCAGAGGGUGGUGGAAUUUCCUGUGUAGCGGUGAAAUGCGUAGAUAUAGGAAGGAACACCAGUGGCGAAGGCGACCACCUGGGCUCAUACUGACUCUGAGGUGCGAAAGCGUGGGGAGCAAACAGG
RNAcentral lists this ribosomal RNA (429 nucleotides) under Pseudomonadota bacterium. RNAcentral describes it as "Proteobacteria bacterium partial 16S ribosomal RNA". It matches the Rfam family "Bacterial small subunit ribosomal RNA", at positions 355 to 776 of the family's 1533-position model. Lineage: Bacteria; Pseudomonadati; Pseudomonadota. The record is from RNAcentral.